Molecule: ribosomal RNA, 497 nt
Filed under: uncultured bacterium
Lineage: Bacteria
Description: partial 16S ribosomal RNA
Rfam family: Bacterial small subunit ribosomal RNA
Source: RNAcentral
GAUGACCGCUGGCGACGUGCUUAAUACAUGCAAGUCGAGCGCACAGACGAGGAGCUUGCUCAUCUGACGAUAGCGGCGGACGGGUGAGUAACACGUGGAUACCCUACCUAUAAGACUGAGAUAACUUCCGGAAACCGGAGAUAAUACCGGAUAAUCUAUUGCACAACAUGGUUCAAUAGUGACAGACGGUUUUGCUGCUACUUAUAGAUCGAACCGGGCCGCAUUAGCUAAUUGGAAAGGUAACGGCUUAACAAGGCAACGAUGCGUAGCCGACCUGAGAGGGUGAUCGGCCACACUGAGACUGAGACUCGGUCCAGACGCCUACGAGAGGCAGCAGUAGAGAAUCUUCCGCAAUGGGCGAAAGCCUGACGGAGCAACGCCGCGGAAGAGAUGAGUGUCUUCGGAUCGUAAAACUCGGUUAUUAGGGAAGAACAAAUGUGUAAGUAACAAUGCACGUCUUGACGGUACCUAAUCAGAAAGCCACGGCUAACUACGUG